RNAcentral lists this ribosomal RNA (700 nucleotides) under uncultured bacterium. RNAcentral's name for it is "bacterial SSU rRNA". It matches the Rfam family "Bacterial small subunit ribosomal RNA", at positions 82 to 796 of the family's 1533-position model. The record is from RNAcentral.
UCGGGGUACACGAGUGGCGAACGGGUGAGUAACACGUGAGUAACCUGCCCUGGACUCUGGGAUAAGCAUUCGAAAGGGUGUCUAAUACUGGAUAUGACCUGUGACCGCAUGGUUGUGGGUGGAAAGAUUUUUUGGUCUGGGAUGGGCUCGCGGCCUAUCAGCUUGUUGGUGGGGUGAUGGCCUACCAAGGCGUCGACGGGUAGCCGGCCUGAGAGGGCGACCGGCCACACUGGGACUGAGAUACGGCCCAGACUCCUACGGGAGGCAGCAGUGGGGAAUAUUGCGCAAUGGGCGGAAGCCUGACGCAGCAACGCCGCGUGCGGGAUGACGGCCUUCGGGUUGUAAACCGCUUUCACCCAUGGCGAAGCUUUUGUGACGGUAGUGGGAGAAGAAGCACCGGCCAACUACGUGCCAGCAGCCGCGGUGAUACGUAGGGUGCGAGCGUUGUCCGGAAUUAUUGGGCGUAAAGAGCUUGUAGGCGGUUUGUCGCGUCGGAAGUGAAAACUCGGGGCUUAACUUCGAGCUUGCUUCCGAUACGGGCUGACUAGAGGGAGUUAGGGGAGAACGGAAUUCCUGGUGGAGCGGUGGAAUGCGCAGAUAUCAGGAGGAACACCGGUGGCGAAGGCGGUUCUCUGGGACUUUCCUGACGCUGAGAAGCGAAAGCGUGGGGAGCAAACAGGCUUAGAUACCCUGGUAGUCC